This 403-nucleotide ribosomal RNA is filed under the name bacterium. RNAcentral describes it as "partial 16S ribosomal RNA". It matches the Rfam family "Bacterial small subunit ribosomal RNA", at positions 355 to 776 of the family's 1533-position model. The record is from RNAcentral.
UGGGGAAUAUUGCACAAUGGGGGAAACCCUGAUGCAGCGACGCCGCGUGAACGAAGAAGGUAUUCGUAUCGUAAAGCUCUGUCCUAUGGGAAGAUAAUGACAGUACCAUAGAAGAAAGCUCCGGCUAAAUACGUGCCAGCAGCCGCGGUGAUACGUAUGGAGCGAGCGCUGUCCGGAAUUAUUGGGCGUAAAGGGUACGCAGGCGGUUUAAUAAGUCGAAUGUUAAAGAGCGGGGCUCAACCCCGUAAAGCAUUGGAAACUGAUAAACUGGAGUAGUGGAGAAGAAAGUGGAAUUCCUAGUGUAGUGGUGAGAUACGUAGAUAUUAGGAGGAAUACCAGUAGCGAAGGCGACUUUCUGGACACAAACUGACGCUGAGGUACGAAAGCGUGGGGAGCAAACAGG